This 1198-nucleotide long non-coding RNA is filed under the name Equus asinus (donkey). Its description in RNAcentral is "lncRNA (ENSEASG00005034307.1)". The record is from RNAcentral. Lineage: Eukaryota; Metazoa; Chordata; Mammalia; Perissodactyla; Equidae.
CUUGCCUGAGGGUGAUCAGUGAGCUCAAAGAAGAGCACAGGUGAGGACCCUCCCACGCCUGGCGCAGCACUUACAGUUUACAGAGCACCUCCCUUCCUGGAGCAGAUGCUUCCACCGCGGGCAGCCAGCACCCGUGUCUCUCAGAGGCUGGCGCCGGGCCUGCGUUUACAGGGAGCUGGAAGUGCAUGACCUCCUGAGGGGAACUCACGUCCUCCAGUCACUGGUGAGUACAGGAGUAUAAACACCCCAGCUCCCUUGCCCCACAGCGGGACGACUCCGAGACGUGACCUGCACUGUCUCCCAAGCACAGCUGCAGGAUCCAUCCAAAGCGGGACUUUGAGAUGACACACCCUUGCUUGGCUUCUGUCCCUUCCAUGUCCUGGUCUCCCAUCCUCUACCAGCCCUCCUGGGGAUGCUUCACAUUACCCAGGGACGUAGAGAUGCGGCUCCCGGCCCGUCUGCAGAAGCGUGGAGAGGAGCUUGCUCGUCCGCAGCCGAAGGGGAGUGGGACUGAGGUAGGCUGGCCCGGAGGCUUCCUGCUUUAUCACUGCCCUGUGGGGUCUUUCCCUCUGGCCCUGCUUCUUACUGCAACCACACAACCGAGCCCGGACAUGUGGCCUCAUCAGCCGCCUGGGACUUUAACUCCUGCGCGGAGUGACUUGAGGUUGGGAGGACUGGUGGAGUCGCUCCUUCCACAGGCAGGGCCCCGACAAUCACGUAGCUGCCGGUUUGAUUCCUGCCUGACCCCCAGCCUGGCUCUCUAGCCUUUAUGUCAAUUCUCUGAUCCCUAAUAAUCUCCCAAUAAAUCCUCCUUUUACGCGAGUACCAAAGAACCUAAUGGAGAACCAGAUGAAGAGGGGAUGGAUCAGCUAGCUGCUGCUGUGGAACAAAGCACCCCCCAAAAUCUGUGGAUUCCAACAAGCAAUUAUUUCUCACAAUUCUGUGGGUCUACUGGGAAGCUCUUCUUCUGGACUAGCCCAUCUGGGGCUGGAAGGUCUAGCAUGGCCUCCUGUGCUGUCUGGCCGUCUCUGCUGGGAUGGCCCAUCUCUAUCUCACGCGGACUCCCGUCCUCCGGUGGGCCAGCUCGGCUCAUUCACAUGGUGGUCUCAAAGUCCCAAACAGCACGUGCUUUGCAAGCCUCUGCCUGGGUCCCAUUGACCAGAGCAAGUCGCACGGCUGGGCCCCGAGUCAAGGUGAG